RNAcentral lists this ribosomal RNA (376 nucleotides) under uncultured Bacillus sp. RNAcentral's name for it is "bacterial SSU rRNA". It matches the Rfam family "Bacterial small subunit ribosomal RNA", at positions 969 to 1355 of the family's 1533-position model. Lineage: Bacteria; Bacillati; Bacillota; Bacilli; Caryophanales; Bacillaceae. The record is from RNAcentral.
CCUUACCAAGGUUUGACAUGGAGGGCAAUGUUGAAGAAACUCAACGGAGGUUAUCCCGACACAGGUGGUGCAUGGUUGUCGUCAGUUCGUGCUGUGAAGCGUAUGCUUAAGUGCUAGAACGAACGCAACCCUCAUAUUUAGUUGCCAUCAUUCAGUUGAGAACUUUAAAUAGACUGCUAAGAAAACUUAGAGGAAGGAGAGGAUGACGUCUGAUCAUCAUGCCCCUUACACCCUGGGCUACACACGUGCUACAAUGGUUAGGACAAAGGGUCGCUAACUCGCGAGGGGGAGCCAAUCCCAAAAAACUAACCCAAGUUCGGAUUGGAGUUUGCAACUUGACUCCAGAAGUCGGAAUCGCUAGUAAUCGGAUCAGCAA